This 405-nucleotide ribosomal RNA is filed under the name uncultured bacterium. RNAcentral describes it as "partial 16S ribosomal RNA". It matches the Rfam family "Bacterial small subunit ribosomal RNA", at positions 30 to 525 of the family's 1533-position model. The record is from RNAcentral.
AUUGAACGCUGGCGGCAGGCCUAACACAUGCAAGUCGGACGAGUGGCGGACGGGUGAGUAAUGUCUGGGAAACUGCCUGAUGGAGGGGGAUAACUACUGGAAACGGUAGCUAAUACCGCAUACCAUCGGAUGUGCCCAGAUGGGAUUAGCUAGUAGGGGGGGUAAAGGCUCACCAAGGCGACGAUCCCUAGCUGGUCUGAGAGGAUUACCGUCAACACGGGAACUGAGACACGGUCCAGGCUCCGACGGGAGGAAGCAGUGGGGAAUAUUGCACAAUGGGCGCAAGCCUGAUGCAGCCAUGCCGCGUGUAUGAAGAAGGCCUUCGGGUUGUAAAGUACUUUCAGCGGGGAGGCGUUACCCGCAGAAGAAGCACCGGCUAACUCCGUGCCAGCAGCCGCGGUAAUA